CGUGUCUCUAUUGGAGCUGCAGUGCUGACAUUAUCAUCUGUGGUGAAACAUUAGCAUCAUUAACUGAGAAACAGGAGCACGUUCAGUAGGCGGACAGUAAAUCUAAGAGUGUCAGUGCUAUUGAUGGAGGAGCAAAGGCACUUCUGAGCUGCUGGCGAGAGACGCCGCGGAGCGAAAUGAACCCAACAAAUGUUUUAUUCAUAGCAUGCAGCAGCUGUGGGUGUGAAUGCAGGAGCAGCUGCGGUGCCGGGCCGGUCCACGCAUCUCCUGGCAGACCCACAGCAGUGCCUCAGUGCCAUGAUCCCUGCUCCCGGAGGAAGACCGGAGCCCGCCGGAGCCGCACCGCACCGCCACUGUAGAGCACAACUCCCUGGGCCCAGAAGUUCACGGAAACAGGUGUCAGGACAGGACCGGUUCCCGACCCGCUCAUCCAGGUGAGGGCGACGGCUCGUGGCCUGAGGUUUCCCUGAGAGCCUCCGGCUGGAGUUUGAGGAGCGUCAGCGGAAGCAGACGCGGGACUAGCGGAAGAACAUCUCCAGGCUAGCACACACUACAUCAGGCUAAUGAGUGUGUGCAGGUGACCGGAGUCGUCUGAGCCCCGGAGAACAGCAUCACACAGGUACACACACACACACACACACACACAAACCUCUUCAUCUGCUCAGUUUCUACCUCUGCCCUAAACUCUCUGUUCUCUC
Molecule: long non-coding RNA, 698 nt
Organism: Rhinichthys klamathensis goyatoka
Lineage: Eukaryota; Metazoa; Chordata; Actinopteri; Cypriniformes; Leuciscidae
Exons: 3
Source: RefSeq, a predicted model, not a curated record